RNAcentral lists this ribosomal RNA (400 nucleotides) under uncultured bacterium. RNAcentral describes it as "bacterial SSU rRNA". It matches the Rfam family "Bacterial small subunit ribosomal RNA", at positions 355 to 752 of the family's 1533-position model. The record is from RNAcentral.
UAAGGAAUAUUGGUCAAUGGACGGAAGUCUGAACCAGCCAUGCCGCGUGGAGGAUGAAGGUCCUCUGGAUUGUAAACUUCUUUUAUAGGGGGCGAAAAAGGGCCAAUCGUGGUCAACUGACGGUACCCUAUGAAUAAGCACCGGCUAACUCCGUGCCAGCAGCCGCGGUAAUACGGAGGGUGCAAGCGUUAUCCGGAUUUACUGGGUUUAAAGGGAGCGUAGGCGGGCAUUUAAGUCUGUGGUGAAAGCCCUCAGCUCAACUGAGGAACUGCCAUGGAUACUAUUUGUCUUGAAUAUCGUUGAGGUUUGCGGAAUGGGUCAUGUAGCGGUGAAAUGCAUAGAUAUGACCCGGAACACCGAUUGCGAAGGCAGCAGGCUAAACGAUAAUUGACGCUGAGGC